UGAGGAAUAUUGCACAAUGGGCGAAAGCCUGAUGCAGCAACGCCGCGUGAGGGACGAAGGCCUUCGGGUCGUAAACCUCUUCUGGGGAAAGAGCAAGGACGGUACCUCAGGAAUAAGUCUCGGCUAACUACGUGCCAGCAGCCGCGGUAAAACGUAGGAGGCGAGCGUUAUCCGGAUUUACUGGGCGUAAAGCGCACGCAGGCGGCUUCGUUAGUCCGAUGUGAAAGCUCCUGGCUUAACUAGGAGAGGCCAUUCGAUACUGCGAGGCUUGAGGCAGGGAGAGGGGUGCGGAAUUCCCGGUGUAGUGGUGGAAUGCGUAGAUAUCGGGAGGAACACCUGUGGCGAAAGCGGCACCCUGGCCCUCGCCUGACGCUGAGGUGCGAAAGCGUGGGGAGUAAACAG
RNAcentral lists this ribosomal RNA (402 nucleotides) under uncultured bacterium. Its description in RNAcentral is "bacterial SSU rRNA". It matches the Rfam family "Bacterial small subunit ribosomal RNA", at positions 355 to 775 of the family's 1533-position model. The record is from RNAcentral.